This 304-nucleotide ribosomal RNA is filed under the name uncultured Bacteroidota bacterium. RNAcentral describes it as "bacterial SSU rRNA". It matches the Rfam family "Bacterial small subunit ribosomal RNA", at positions 163 to 466 of the family's 1533-position model. Lineage: Bacteria; Pseudomonadati; Bacteroidota. The record is from RNAcentral.
UUAAUACCGCAUAAGACAGUAGCUGGGCAUCCAGCAGCUGUUAAAGAUUUAUCGAUGUAAGCUGGGCAUGCGUCCAAUUAGCUAGUUGGUGAGGUAACGGCUCACCAAGGCUAUGAUUGGUAGGGGAACUGAGAGGUCAAUCCCCCACACUGGCACUGAGAUACGGGCCAGACUCCUACGGGAGGCAGCAGUAGGGAAUAUUGGGCAAUGGACGCAAGUCUGACCCAGCCAUGCCGCGUGCAGGAUGAAGGCGUUAUGCGUUGUAAACUGCUUUUAUACAGGAAGAAACGACUCUUGCGAGAGG